This 933-nucleotide ribosomal RNA is filed under the name human gut metagenome. RNAcentral's name for it is "bacterial SSU rRNA". It matches the Rfam family "Bacterial small subunit ribosomal RNA", at positions 11 to 931 of the family's 1533-position model. The record is from RNAcentral.
GUUUGAUCCUGGCUCAGGAUGAACGCUGGCGGCAUGCCUAAUACAUGCAAGUCGAACGAGAGGAAGGAAAGCUUGCUUUUCUGAAUCUAGUGGCGAACGGGUGAGUAACACGUAGGUAACCUGCCCAUGUGCCCGGGAUAACUUCUGGAAACGGAUGCUAAAACCGGAUAGGUAGCAGACAAGCAUUUGACUGCUAUUAAAGUGGCUAAGGCCAUGAACAUGGAUGGACCUGCGGUGCAUUAGCUAGUUGGUGAGGUAACGGCCCACCAAGGCGACGAUGCAUAGCCGGCCUGAGAGGGCGGACGGCCACAUUGGGACUGAGACACGGCCCAAACUCCUACGGGAGGCAGCAGUAGGGAAUUUUCGUCAAUGGGGGGAACCCUGAACGAGCAAUGCCGCGUGAGUGAGGAAGGUCUUCGGAUCGUAAAGCUCUGUUGUAAGAGAAAAACGACAUUCAUAGGGAAUGAUGAGUGAGUGAUGGUAUCUUACCAGAAAGUCACGGCUAACUACGUGCCAGCAGCCGCGGUAAUACGUAGGUGGCGAGCGUUAUCCGGAAUGAUUGGGCGUAAAGGGUGCGUAGGUGGCAGAACAAGUCUGGAGUAAAAGGUAUGGGCUCAACCCGUACUGGCUCUGGAAACUGUUCAGCUAGAGAACAGAAGAGGACGGCGGAACUCCAUGUGUAGCGGUAAAAUGCGUAGAUAUAUGGAAGAACACCGGUGGCGAAGGCGGCCGUCUGGUCUGGAUUCUGACACUGAAGCACGAAAGCGUGGGGAGCAAAUAGGAUUAGAUACCCUAGUAGUCCACGCCGUAAACGAUGAGAACUAGGUGUUGGGGGAAUAACUCAGUGCCGCAGUUAACGCAAUAAGUUCUCCGCCUGGGGAGUAUGCACGCAAGUGUGAAACUCAAAGGAAUUGACGGGGGCCCGCACAAGCG